This 400-nucleotide ribosomal RNA is filed under the name uncultured soil bacterium. RNAcentral describes it as "bacterial SSU rRNA". It matches the Rfam family "Bacterial small subunit ribosomal RNA", at positions 975 to 1375 of the family's 1533-position model. The record is from RNAcentral.
CUGGGCUAGACAACGGCGGACCGUCCUAGAAAUAGGACUUUCCCUUCGGGGACCUCCGGUUCAGGUGCUGCAUGGCUGUCGUCAGCUCGUGCCGUGAGGUGUUGGGUUAAGUCCCGCAACGAGCGCAACCCUCGUCCUUAGUUGCCACCAUUCAGUUGGGCACUCUAGGGAGACUGCCGGCGUUAAGCCGGAGGAAGGUGGGGACGACGUCAAGUCAUCAUGGCCCUUAUGUCCAGGGCCACACACGUGCUACAAUGGGCGGUACAAAGGGUCGCAAACCCGCGAGGGGGAGCCAAUCCCAAAAAGCCGCUCUCAGUUCGGAUUGGAGUCUGCAACUCGACUCCAUGAAGUUGGAAUCGCUAGUAAUCGCGGAUCAGCACGCCGCGGUGAAUACGUUCCC